UAUACCGUGAAACUGCGAAUGGCUCAUUAAAUCAGUUAUCGUUUAUUUGAUAGUACCUUACUACUUGGAUAACCGUGGUAAUUCUAGAGCUAAUACAUGCUAAAAACCCCAACUUCGGGAGGGGUGUAUUUAUUAGAUAAAAAACCAAUGCCCUUCGGGGCUCUUUGGUGAUUCAUGAUAACUUAACGGAUCGCAUGGCCUUGCGCCGGCGACGGUUCAUUCAAAUUUCUGCCCUAUCAACUUUCGAUGGUAAGGUAUUGGCUUACCAUGGUUUCAACGGGUAACGGGGAAUUAGGGUUCGAUUCCGGAGAGGGAGCCUGAGAAACGGCUACCACAUCCAAGGAAGGCAGCAGGCGCGCAAAUUACCCAAUCCCGACUCGGGGAGGUAGUGACAAUAAAUACUGAUACAGGGCUCUUUUGGGUCUUGUAAUCGGAAUGAGUACAAUUUAAACCCCUUAACGAGGAACAAUUGGAGGGCAAGUCUGGUGCCAGCAGCCGCGGUAAUUCCAGCUCCAAUAGCGUAUAUUAAAGUUGUUGCAGUUAAAAAGCUCGUAGUUGAACCUUGGGCCUGGCUGGCCGGUCCGCCUCACCGCGUGUACUGGUCCGGCCGGGCCUUUCCUUCUGGAGAUCCGCAUGCCCUUCACUGGGUGUGUCUGGGGAACCAGGACUUUUACUUUGAAAAAAUUAGAGUGUUCAAAGCAGGCCUUUGCUCGAAUACGUUAGCAUGGAAUAAUAGAAUAGGACGUGCGGUCCUAUUUUGUUGGUUUCUAGGACCGCCGUAAUGAUUAAUAGGGAUAGUCGGGGGCAUCAGUAUUCAAUUGUCAGAGGUGAAAUUCUUGGAUUUAUUGAAGACUAACUACUGCGAAAGCAUUUGCCAAGGAUGUUUUCAUUAAUCAGUGAACGAAAGUUAGGGGAUCGAAGACGAUCAGAUACCGUCGUAGUCUUAACCGUAAACUAUGCCGACUAGGGAUCGGGCGAUGUUUCUAUCUUGACUCGCUCGGCACCUUACGAGAAAUCAUAAG
Molecule: ribosomal RNA, 1022 nt
Filed under: Cryptoclypeus ryukyuensis
Lineage: Eukaryota; Fungi; Ascomycota; Dothideomycetes; Pleosporales; Lophiotremataceae
Description: SSU rRNA
Rfam family: Eukaryotic small subunit ribosomal RNA
Source: RNAcentral